RNAcentral lists this small nucleolar RNA (126 nucleotides) under Jaculus jaculus (lesser Egyptian jerboa). RNAcentral's name for it is "Small nucleolar RNA SNORA40 (ENSJJAG00000005132.1)". It matches the Rfam family "Small nucleolar RNA SNORA40". Rfam says of the family: The snoRNA ACA 40 belongs to the H/ACA family of snoRNAs and guides the pseudouridylation of 28S rRNA subunit at position U4565. The record is from Rfam by way of RNAcentral. Lineage: Eukaryota; Metazoa; Chordata; Mammalia; Rodentia; Dipodidae.
AGGACUUGUCUUUGUCUUGGUUGAACUGAUAGACAAAGAUUAAAGACAGGUGCAAAAAUAAAUCCUCUUUUGCAACCCAGAGCUCAUUUUCAAGAAUGACUGUUGAUACAGAUAAGAAGGAAUAUG